This 460-nucleotide ribosomal RNA is filed under the name uncultured bacterium. RNAcentral describes it as "partial 16S ribosomal RNA". It matches the Rfam family "Bacterial small subunit ribosomal RNA", at positions 338 to 795 of the family's 1533-position model. The record is from RNAcentral.
CCUACGGGGGGCAGCAGUGAGGAAUAUUGGUCAAUGGGCGCGAGCCUGAACCAGCCAAGUAGCGUGAAGGAUGACUGCCCUACGGGUUGUAAACUUCUUUUAUCAAGGAAUAAAGUGAGGCACGUGUGCCUUUUUGUAUUUCCUUUAUGAAUAAGGAUCGGCUAACUCCGUGCCAGCAGCCGCGGUAAUACGGAGGAUCCGAGCGUUAUCCGGAUUUAUUGGGUUUAAAGGGAGCGUAGAUGGGUUGUUAAGUCAGUUGUGAAAGUUUGCGGCUCAACCGUAAAAUUGCAAUUGAUACUGGCAGGCUUGAGUACAGUUGAGGUAGGCGGAAUUCGUGGUGUAGCGGUGAAAUGCUUAGAUAUCACGAAGAACUCCGAUUGCGAAGGCAGCUUACUAAACGGCCACUGACAUUGAUGCUCGAAAGUGUGGGUAUCAAACAGGAUUAGAUACCCUGGUAGUC